GAUGUCCCAUGAAGACCCCACUGUGGGGAUGGGGACAUCCCAAUGGGACCCCUGCCAUGGGGAUGGGGACGUCCCAUGGGGAUGAGUACAUCCCAUGGGGACCCCACCAUGGGGAUGGAGGGGGACCCCACUGUGGGGAUGGGGAUGCCCCACCAUCCCCCCCACAAUGGAGAUGGGGACCCCACCAUCAACCCUACUAUAGGGCUGGGGACCCUUAGGAUGAGUCCAUCAUGGGGUUGGUGACACCCCAUAGCCCACCUCCCCAUGGGGAUGGGACCCCCAGGUUCAACCCCAUCAUGGGGACAAGGACCUGCCCCCACCAUAACCCGCCAUGGGGAUGGUGACACCCCACAGCCCACCUCCCCAUGGGGCUGGGACCCCCCCCCCCCUCCUUACCGUUGAUGCUGAAGCCCAUGGCGUCCUCGAUCUGGUGGCGGCUGGGCCCGGCGGUGGCCAGCUGGAGGGCGCCGAGGACAGCGGCGGCGCCGUGGGGCGAGAAGGCGGCGUUGCCGUCGCCCCGCCGCCCCGCCGCCUCCCGGAAGAGCCGGAUGCCGAAGUCAGCCGCCAGCCGGGCCACGCGGGCGCCCGCCGGGGUCCCCGAUGUGGGUGCCGUCACCCCCGCCAGGGCCACCCAUGCCAGCGCCACCAGGGCCACCUGCAUCCUGGGGAUGAGAGGGGCCCAGGCGUCCGGGAUGUCACGUCUGGACCAGGCCACCGUGGUCCCUGACACUCCAGGUCAACCCCCUCCUGACUCCCUCCCCAAGGGGCCCAGGCGUCCUGGCCCCCAGCACCCCCCCGCUCCUGCCCGGGGGUCCCCAAUAGCCUCCAGGGCUGGUGCUGCCACCUCGGUGUCACCCUGGUGCUGGGUCCCUGCUCCCUGCCGGUGUCAAACCCAGUGUCACCCUGGUCCCGGUGCUGGUGUCACCCCAGUGUCACCCUCGUGCCGGUUCCCUGCUUCCCCCCAGUGUCAUCCCGGUGCCGGUGUCACCCCGGUGCCACCCCUGGUGCUCGACCCGGUGUCAUCCCCGGUGCUGGUGUCACCCCGGUGCCUCCCGGUGCCGGGUCCCCGUUACCUGUUGGUCUCGGUGCUGCUCUCGGUGCCGGUGCCGCUCUCAGCCGCGGUCUCGGUCCUGGUGCCCCGGUGCCGGUGCUGGUCCCAGUCCGGUCUCGGUGCUGCUCUCAGCCCCGGUGUCCCGGUCUCAGCCUCGGUCCCGAUGUCCCGGUGUC
Molecule: long non-coding RNA, 1227 nt
Filed under: Apteryx haastii (Great spotted kiwi)
Lineage: Eukaryota; Metazoa; Chordata; Aves; Apterygiformes; Apterygidae
Description: lncRNA (ENSAHAG00000007727.1)
Source: RNAcentral